CCAGCUGGGCUCACCCCAAACACACUGGCAGGCCAGGACCAUGGGUGCAGUGGGGAGCUUCCUUCUCUAGUCCCCAGUGACAACACCGGACCUGCAGAUGACUUUUCUGAGCUACUCAGCCUCUCUGAAAUACCCCUGAUGAAUCAGCAGGGCUCAGGUGCUGCUGCACAAACCCUUCUUUCCCUUACCCAGCAGCAAUCAGCUUCAUGCUGGCAGGAUGAGUAUCUGCCUGGCAGUGCAAGAGGUUUCUCAGGUGCAUGAUGCCUCGUUUCCCAGGUGUGCUGGGCCUCUCAGGAAUGUCACUGUCUUCUCAGAAAAGGUGUGGUUUCCCUGCUUCCCCCCACCCCUGCCCCAGAUGAGAUUCCCCCAGGGAGCAAAGGUGGAGGUGCUCCCUGGAGGCACAGAGGAGUUAGGCUGACGUGUGUCAGUGUGGGGAUGUGGUAUCUUGCUCCAUUCCCUCCAACCCACCACCCUGGGGGUAGAAAGAGCUUUGUGGACUCCAGGCACUGUCCCAGGCUCUUUCCAGGACACUGAAAUUUCACAGCUUUAUCAGUUCCCAGGAAAAGCUCUGGAAUUUGCACUACACAAGGGCAGGGAGUUCUGACCAUUGAACAGGGCAUGGAAACUGAAACAGGGACAUGACUUUCACUGCAUUUCCUGCAGCUUGUGAUGUGAUCUGACACUAUUUCUAAGUACCUAGUCCUAACAUAAGAUCAGUUUUUCUCCUGGUCCAUGAUGGGCACCAGUGUAACUCAACGCUGUCCAGGAAAUUACUUUCAUGGCCACAAUUAAGGCCAAGAAAACCCCCAGAACUGAAGUGAGAGUGUUAUGGGAACCAUCUAAGCAGAGCCAACUGUAGUGCCAAGGAGACAUGGGAAGAUGCCUCCACUAAGGGCAGUCAGAGGAAAAUCCUGGACCUGGUUUAAAAUUCUCGCCCUCUUUUACCAGGGAACAAAAAUGGAUGAAAAUUCUGCAGGUUCAUUUGUCUUCCAUAAGUUUUUGCCAGGCUUUGGUUAUUCCUCCACUUGUUCAAAACAUUUGCAGUGUAAAAGGGCUGAGGCACCCAUCAGACACCCUGAGCAGCAUCCCCAGGCUGGAGAAGAAUGUCCUGAGUGGGAGCAUUUCGUCCUGGCUGCAGCCCUGGGGUUGAUUCUCAUCAGUCACCAAGUCCAAGGCUGCAGAGCAUGGUUUGUGGUAACAGCUGUUUAUGGUCGAGCCUCUCCAAUACCUGCAAAGCUGAGAUGUGUCAGCAGUGUUAUUCCUUUCCCUGCCUAAUCCCAGAUGGGAUCUACACAGGGACAUAAAAUAAACAACAGCAGGAAGGUGGAUGAGGUUUCUAUUGCUGUGAGCCUCCCUCCCUCAGACUGGCACCAGAGCUCUGAGGAGCAGCAAUCACAGAGCAGAGGUUGUACGUAAUUCACAAGGUGAAGGUGUUUUUUUGGCUGCAGGCAGGGAUGGCUGAAAACCUUCCAGUUGCCUUGCAGUAAUGUAUGCUCUGCUAGCUUGCACCCAAGCUAAACUCUCAGAUUUUUGCCUGAAGCCAAAUACUGCUCGGCCCUAUCAGGAGAAGCAACACAUCUCACAGCAUCAGUUCCUUAACAGUCCCCAGUGUCCUGUUUCAUUUCACAGGCUGGGCAAGACAGGAGCAGAGUGAAACCCAGAGUAACAGGGCACUUAGAGACGUUUGCUCAAUGGCAGAAGAUAUUCCAAAUUUCCAACUACAAACACAGACUGCCUUGAGCAAAGCUUCUGCUACACCACACACCUUGGGUGAAGAUUGGAACCUUUCUUCUGCCUGCACAAUGGAUUAUUUUCCCUCAUGUUUCUUAACUUAGUUACAAAACUCAUCACUUCGCAAAAAGUCUCCUUUUACUUGGAUAUUACUUUAAAGUGUUUUCAUAAAAGGAGUUUCACAACAAAGUUGAUUCACAUGUGUGCAUCUUCUAACAAGCUGAAGACAAAGAGUUUGGUGAACAUGCAGCAAAGGCAUGAAACAGGUUGUAUCUGUAAGUGGGCCAGAAGGCCAGUCCAUGAUUCCACAGCCAUCAGAACCAGGUAACCACUACCACAAAGUCAGCCUGGAUCAGCCUUGACUGUGCCCAAUCACACCUCUAUUUAUGGGGCUAACGCACCCAGAAAACAGAAAAUACAACCCCAGCUUGGAUGUUUGUGACACCAGGUGCCUUAAAGCUUUGCCUACAACUUCGACUCCCUGGCCUUUCCUGAGAGAUCUGAGCAGAAGGAAGGUUUGUGCUGGAUCAACACGUUGUGUUGUGCUGCCUCAGCACCUUUGAACUGAUACUGGGAAGCCAAAAGAGCUGAAUUUGCUGCAUCAAAAUGCUGCCUUGGAGCUGAUCUUAUUAAUUUGGCAGCGAGUGGAUUUUCCAUAAUUACGUUUCGUUGUCUUGGAGGAAUCACAGAAUCACACAGUGGGGAGCUUCCACUUGUCACGGGCAGAGACAGCACAGCCCAGGAGCAGCCAGCAGCAGACCAUGCCAGUGCCCUGACGUGCAGAAACACCAGGGAAAAUUGCAGCAAGGCACCCACACUUCCACCUGUGGCAAUGAGACUUUUUUGGAUGAGGAAAGACGAGCUCUGCUUGAGCUGGAGGAGGGUGGGUUGGGUCACCCACAUCUGUGCUGUGCUCCGAGCCAUGCCUGGGCUCCCAUCUCCACUGUGUCCAGGGAAUAAUUAUAUUUAUCUAGCUCUUGUCCCAUCACCCUGACCACCACCAGUGUUCUGAGGCCAGUCUGUGAGCACUGCACUGUGGACAGUGAGAGAAGCCAUAACAAAAGGAAUUUGUGGGGGGACUGCACUACACCCAGCUGCUCCCACAUCCCAGCCAGGACUGGAAGUGUUUGGAGCAGCCCCAUCCUCCUGCAAAGUCACUGCUUCUACACACAAGAGUUUUCAGCAACCUCUCCAUCUGCCUGCUUUUCUGGAAGAGCCUGGGAAGUCUUUCCCUUCAGAUGGAGGAGUAGGACUCCACGAACAGUAGCGUUCCCAGACAGCUGCAGCCCGACCUUCAUUUCUCAGGGGACAGAACUGCCUGUUAUUUAUUCAGACAUUUUGUUCCCAGCUUUUAUUGCUCUGUUUUAUAUGGUAGGCGAGGUCAGAGCCUUUGUAAUAUAGGAACAGCAUCGCCAAGAUUUCUCUCCAAAGGACAAGAAAUAUAAAAUAUGUUAUGGCAUAAAGAAAAGAAUGCUGUGUUUUUCACCUGGACACCUAUUUCAGCCAUGGGGAGAUGAAUAAAACUGGGAGUGGAUGGGGAAAAAAGGUUUUCAAUCUUUUUCAAUAUUUUCCUCUAUUUUUUACAACAUAAAAAGCAAUAUUGUUCUGGGGGUAAAUCACUGGUCUCUAGGUUGUGUGUGGACUAGUAUUAAUCUGUAAUUUCUCACAGAUUAAAAGCACAUAGAACAAGCUGAACAAAAAGCCAUCAAUUCUGUUUACAUAAGAAGUUAGGCUCUACAAGAGCUGCUCAAUUUUAAGUCACUUAACUUGCUGCAACUCACACAAUUCCCCCUCUGGUAAGCAAAUUUAGAUCUCUUUUAUCUUCUUUUAUCUAACUGGUUUG
Passer domesticus (house sparrow) is the source of this 3574-nucleotide long non-coding RNA. RefSeq lists it as uncharacterized. The record is from RefSeq and is a predicted model, not a curated record. The transcript has 3 exons. Lineage: Eukaryota; Metazoa; Chordata; Aves; Passeriformes; Passeridae.